This is a long non-coding RNA of Felis catus (domestic cat), 5328 nucleotides long. RefSeq lists it as uncharacterized. NCBI's taxonomy places the organism in Eukaryota, Metazoa, Chordata, Mammalia, Carnivora, Felidae. The record is from RefSeq and is a predicted model, not a curated record. The transcript has 3 exons.
UGAGCUGAAGUCGGAUGCUUAACCGACUAAGCCACCCAGGUGCCCCUGGGCCCCCUAUUUCUAGUGUAUGACCCUGGAAAGUUACUGAAACUCUCUGUGGCUCAGUUUCCCCACCUCUACAACAGGGGUUAUGGUUGUAGGUUUUGAUCUCUAAGCUUUCAAAUAUUCUAGUUUUACAGAAAACUAGGUCAGGGUUUGAUUCCAAAAAGCCAAAAUAACUAAAAGUUGUCAACUGAAUUAGUAAAUCCUCUAUCAAAGAUGCAGUCUCAGUAAGCAAGCACAUUGGAUGGCCAUGAAAAAUGCAUGGCUGUUCCUCGGACGAAGGCCCUCAGCCUUGUCCACAGAUGCUGCCAGAAGAUUCCGACCCAAAGCUCCUGAAUUCUUCAUGUCUCUGUUCCUCACUGUGCUCUCAAUAUUCCAAACUCACAGAUAUUCAGUAUCCUGGCAAGGCAGAGCACUGCUCAUAUUGUAUUGCUGUGGUUUUAUCAUUACAGGUUGAGAAAUACAGUUUUAACUAUUGUUUGAGGAGAAAAGUAUCCUAAUGCCCAGUGGUAUAUCUUAUACAUCUUACAUAAGACAGAUGUAUAACUGGAGGAACAAAACUACCAACAGCCUUCUGCUUCCCAUGAGCAGCCAUUACCUGCUUUGCAGCUUAGCAGUGGGAUGGUUUCUUAAUAUGAGGAGGUCAAGGGGAUGCAAUGCUGAUACGGGGCAGGGACUGAGUGAAAGAUACAUCGUUCAUAUAACAACCGCUAGCAUUUGCUUGAAGACAAUUCUUGCUAAUUAUGGGACUGGUAAGAAAAAUGCACCUCUUCCUUGUUUUGAGUUGACAUUACAUGAUCUCUUAAAAUGAAUAUUUGAUCCUUGAAGAAGUAAGCAGGUAUAUGGAGGUAUAGUUUGUGGUUAGGUGACUGAGGCCUCUGAGAACAGUUAACAGCAGGAGCAUACCGGGAAGGUGCAGAGAAUAAAUAGGCAUGACUCAUCCUGAUGCGGAGACCACAAAGGGCCAAGGAGGAUGCCUGUGCAUACCCUACGGCUCUGAGAAGUCAAAUGCUAUCAAAGACUGGUCUGGUCUAAAGAACAGACAACGGAAAAUGCAUUUCUUGGAAUAAAUAAUGGCUUUGGGGUGAGAGCAACAUUUGUGUUUAAAGGGCAGACUGUUCUCAAAAGGUAAAUGAACACAUAUGUUUUGUCAGUAAUAAGGAAAAGGAAGUCCUGCAUGAAGGCACAGGCCUGACACCAAGGUCAGGACCCUCUGAGUGAAAUUUAACUUCGUGGGUACUUUUUACGUGGACUCUAAUUGAGUCCCUGUUAAAUCAAAAACAUCAGAACACUUUGGAGCAAUACACCAAAAGCUUCCAUGUCCACAACAAAACGUUACAAUGUCUACGAUAUAACCCAAAAUUAUUCAACAUACAAAGAUCCAGGAAAAUGUGACACGUUCUCAAAAUCAACAGAUGCCAAUGGUGAGGCGAUCAGAUGGUGGCAUCAGCAGACAGGAGCUUUAAAGCAGCUAUCAGAACCAUGCCCAGGGAAGUGAAGGAUGUUCACAAUAAAUGAAAGGCAGGCAGUACCAAUAGAGAAAGAAAAAAAGGGAACUAACAACUGAAAACAUACAAGCGUUGAAAUUUUAAAAAUGCUCAAUAGAAGGGAAAUGACAGAGGACAAAGAGGGUAAACCUGAAGAUGUAUUAAUAGAAACCAUCUAAUCUAAAGAAGAGAGAGCGUGCUGAGAAAAAGGUGAACAGAGCCUCAGAAACCCGUGGGAGAAUUUCAAAAGCUCUAACAUAUGGAUAAAUGUGUCCCAGAAGGACAGAGAGAAUGGAGCUGAAAAUCUCCCAAAUAUGGUAAAAGACAUACACUCAACAGAUUUAAAGUAGCUUAAUGAACUCCAGAACAAGAGAAAUUCAAAGAGAACCAUGAUUAGGCACAUCCCAGUCCCACUAACUGAAAACCAAAGAUAAAGAAACUCUUGACUGCACCCAGAGAGGAAAAACAGGUUGCACAUGGGGAAGAACGAUUAGAACAAGCAAGCCCUUCUCAUCUCUGGAGGCCAUGGACACUGAAACGACAUCUUUAAAGCACAUAAAGCAAGAUCAGGUGGAAUUCUUUAUCUAUGGAAAUUUUUGAUCGUGAAAAAAAGACAUUUACAGAAGAAGGAAACUGGAAGAACUUGUUGCCAAUGGACCUGCUCUAUAAGAAAUGCUAAAGCAAGUUCUUCAGUAUGAAGAGAAAUGAGAUCAGUAGGGAACUCAGAGCUUCAGGGACGAAUGAAGGCGACUGGAAAUGGUAAAAGAUCAAAAGCAACUAGAGAUGCAAUGCUUCAGAACGCAGAUGUCAGAAGACUUGCCAGGCAGCCAUUCACCCUUAUGUGACAGCCUCUGCUUACGCUGAAGCUUGUUUCAGUCCAGGUUCACAGACAUUCUAUCAAAAUGGCACACGUUUCUCUGUGGCUUCUGUGAAAGACCAAUGGAGGAAGUGCUAGAAAACGAGGCCAAAGCAGCGCCGUGGGCAGUGGUGCAGAUUCAAGGACACACUGUGAUUGUGGAACAAAAAUGUACUUCUGAGGCCUGUCCAAUUUCACUACUAAACACUUGAAGAAAAAAAGUGGCAGCUGAGUUUUAAGAUGAAUCUGUACCUCAAUAACAGCUAUAGGAAAAGACCCCAAGACCAGAAAUGCCAGCUACCAUGGGCCUCGCCUCUCCCCCCAUGUCUUCCUAACUCCAGCUGCCCACCAAAACCCCUGAUCCGGACAAAACACACCCCUCUUCUACCCCAUCUCUACACUGAUCCAAGUUUCUGACCACACUUAAAGCCCAAUUUGAACUGCUAUAAUUUUUUGUUCCCCAAACUCCUUGUGGCCUUUUACCCAACCUCUCCCCAGCACUUCUGAUUGUUUAAAUAAUAAAUAAAAUAAAAUAAAACAAAAUAAAACAAAAUAAAAUAAAAUAAAAUAAAAUAAAAUAAAAUAAAAUAAAAAUAAAAUAAAACAAAACAAAACAAAACAAAACAUUCCCCCGCCUCUCUAAAUCUUUAUCAACACUCUUGACCUUAUUUUCUUCCUCCAGCAUCAGGGUCCUGCUCCACAAGUUUCCCCUCCUUUUUCCUAUCGUCAACUAAUUCUCCUCCAGGGACCUUUCUCCCAUCUUACAAACUUGCUCACUGUGCCUUGUCCUAGAAGCAAACAAAAACAGAUCAAGGACACUACCAUUCGCCUUCCAAUCUCACUUCUCGAUGCUGUCUGCUUUCCCCCACAACUAAAUGUUUUUCCUCAACUUUUUUCCUAACAAAUUUGGUGAAGGUGGGAUCCCCUCUCACUGCAGGACUUUCCCACUUGUCAGGUCACGCCCUCGCCUGGUCUCUGUGAUCUAGGCGUAUGCAUUCAGCACUUUAACAGACCAGUUCUCUAAAGGAUUGUUCAUCACCUCCCAGGAGUCCAUUAUCUUUGGCCUAUUUUCAGGCUUCAUCCUCUUUGAUCUCUCUACAAUUAAUAUUCGGCACUGCUGGUGACCCCUCUUUCUAGAAAUUUCCUACUGUUCAUUCUCUGAUGCUGAGCUUUCCUAGUUUUUUCCCUGAUGUUUGUAUCUUUUUCUUAGCUUCCUCUUUUUCCUCUUGCUCCUUAUUCCUUAGCUUAUUUUAUAUAAUUGCAUUCAUUCUAUGGCUUCAGAGCUAGACUUUUAUGCUGUCUUAAUUUCCUUCCUCCAAUUCCUCUCCCCAUUCUGGGUGCCAUCAUUGCACUAAGUGACCCCUAAGGUGAGAAAUUCAAUGGGCUCGUCCAGGCCUCAUUUUACUGGACUCCCUUCCACAGGUUCAGACAUUGUUGGCCACUGUGUUCCUUUCCUUCUGCUUCUUUGACAUGUUAUUCCAUCACUUCCUUUAAUCUUUCUGGCACCUUCCCUGAUUCUUGUGCGAACCCUUGCUUUUCUGCCCAAACAUUAAAUGUUACACUUCUUCACGUCAGUCUCUCCUCUUCCAACUGAGAGCUUACUUCCGGCUUCAAUUACAUGAACAUACGGAAGACUCACAAAUGUAUACUGAUAGUCUACACAACAUGCUAGUGUUGUUUAGCAUUAGUAUUGUUAUAACCAUCUCCCAUCCAUUCUAAUUGGAGGUUGGGCAUAAAUAGGGAAUUUGUGUCAUUUACAAAAUUAAUGUUAUUGAUUUAACAAGUGUGAACACUGGUUUUCAGAAUGGAACAAAUCGUUUUCUGACGAUCUCACUGUUUGACUGUCCAGUACCACAACUGGUGUUUGUAAUAAUGACUGCAGUUUUACAAGAAUACCCUCCUGCUUGAUAAAGUCUGUGUUUUAUGGAAGGAUGUUUGUAGUUUUAAAAGGUUUUUAUCCACAAAGUUUAACAAAUUUUAAAGUUCUAGGUAUUCACCCUCAAUGACUUCACUUUUGGACCAAGCUAUACAAAGGAGGUCUUGCUGAAUAUUAUCACGUAAAUAUUGGCACUGACCAUACAGGAAAUAGGAUGCAUAUUUCAAUGACUUUUCUUUGAAGGAUGUAGAGGAUUAUUCAUAUUUAAAAGCAAAAUUGGUUCAUAUUCUGGUUUGUAUGGCCAGUAAUUAGGCAGUAAAAAUACUUCAGCUGAAAUCUAAACAGACUUGACAUAUUUCAGAAAAACGUACCAAGAAAAUGAAACCUAUCCCUGGAGUAUUAUUUUAACAUAUAGCUUCAAUGAUACAAAGUGAGUAACUCUGCCUUUUUAAGAGAUUAAAUCAUGAUCAUUAGACUUAUUACAGAUAAGGCCCUGCUAUGAAGAUAAAUGUGGUCAAAUAGACGACAAUAAAAAUCAUCCAGAGGCCUAAAGAGAUUGACUGCUGGGAAGAAUCAAACACAGGAAAGCACACAAGAGCCUGAGCCACUUUCCAAAAUGCAAGCAACUAUACGAUUUCACUGUUCCCAUACCUGCGGUGGGGGAGUUUGCGUGAUGAGACUUUUUUGGCAGGUUGAAGAUCUGUUCGCCAGGGUCAGGCGGAGGGAUCGCAUCUUGCCCUUGCCGCGCUUCUACAGGAUCAUACUCCUUCCCAUCGUAGUUAGCAUCAUAGAAUUUCUUAAACCAUUGAAUGAAAUCCAGGUUGUCCUGGAAACGCCCCUUCACCAGCUUCUCCACUGGGAUCACCUGUAAUAUAAAAUCGCCAUGUGAGUCGUGAACCCACGACUAUUUUAUGAGUAUUUGGCACAACUGAAGCAUUUCCUAUAAACUAUUUUCUACGGGUCAGGGAUUAUUUACUGGUCUCCCCCUCAGCUUCUUGGCCAGCUGUAUUCUAGAAUUCACCUAUUUUUUUCAUCAUACGCAAGCAAAAUUAAAAUAAAAUGCUGUA